CCUACGGGUGGCAGCAGUGAGGAAUAUUGGUCAAUGGACGCAAGUCUGAACCAGCCAUGCCGCGUGCAGGAAGACGGCUCUAUGAGUUGUAAACUGCUUUUGUACGAGGGUAAACGCAGAUACGCGUAUCUGUCUGAAAGUAUCGUACGAAUAAGGAUCGGCUAACUCCGUGCCAGCAGCCGCGGUAAUACGGAGGAUUCAAGCGUUAUCCGGAUUUAUUGGGUUUAAAGGGUGCGUAGGCGGUCGGAUAAGUUAGAGGUGAAAUCCCGAGGCUCAACUUCGGAAUUGCCUCUGAUACUGUUCGGCUAGAGAGUAGUUGCGGUAGGCGGAAUGUAUGGUGUAGCGGUGAAAUGCUUAGAGAUCAUACAGAACACCAGUGGCGAAGGCGACUUACUGGACUGUAACUGACGCUGAGGCAUGAGAGCAUGGGGAGCAAACAGGAUUAGAUACCCUUGUAGUC
RNAcentral lists this ribosomal RNA (460 nucleotides) under uncultured bacterium. RNAcentral describes it as "partial 16S ribosomal RNA". It matches the Rfam family "Bacterial small subunit ribosomal RNA", at positions 338 to 795 of the family's 1533-position model. The record is from RNAcentral.